Molecule: long non-coding RNA, 1548 nt
Organism: Lycium ferocissimum
Lineage: Eukaryota; Viridiplantae; Streptophyta; Magnoliopsida; Solanales; Solanaceae
Exons: 6
Source: RefSeq, a predicted model, not a curated record
CUCUAUGUGAACAGAUCGUCGAGAACAGUUGCAAUCGGUGAAAUUGGAGAAUUGAAUAUUUACAGAAUUCUAGUUUGGAAGCUCUCUUUAGGUUUCCAUCUCUUCUCUCAUCAAGGUAUCAUAGUAUUUUUGUUGCCAAGAGCAAAAUUGAGUUACAAGCUUACAAAUUAGAGAUUAGGCUGACUUGAAUCCGUCAAAAUCUCAAAAGUAUGAAAUGGAAUCAACUUUGAAGGCUGUGAAACAUUCAUUCAUUCCACCUGGUGCCUUAGCAAGGGGACGAGGGAAAAGCUUUAGAGCUUUGAGUUCAGUAAGAGUAAAUGCUGAACAAAGACCUUCGAUUGGCAAAAGUAAAAAGUGUAAUACAACAACUUCUUAUCUGAAUGAGCUAGCUCAGAAUGAGUCUUGCACGCUCCUGAUUUUGAUCCACAGGAAGACUAUGUUUCCCUCUCUCAAGAAGCUGAACUGAUGCAAGACACUCAGAGAAACGAAAUAAGUCCAUGUGAACCUUAAAAGGCAAAAAAUGUGAGAGGGUCGAUCAGGUGCAGGACUCAAAGCUGGAGUAACGUUGAGCGUCACUUUUUACCACAAUCGAAUUGUUGGGAAGCAUCAUGCCUCAGCAAGACACUUAGGUAUAUUAGUUAAUGAUCGUAAUAUGUGUCCAUUGCGCAUACAUUAAUGGGCGGACAUCGAGGAUUAUAAGCUGGAUCACAUGUGGGCAGCUGUGACUAUAAGGAUUUAAGACAUGAGUUUUUUGUUUUGCCUUCUCCUUUUCUUCUUUUACAAAUGAAAACGAAAUACUUGUGAGCUUAUAUCAUUGUAUUUAUUGAGUUAUUUUCUGUUUGAUUUGUCAGAAUCUGUAAAGAAAAUAUUUGGUAUGCUAUAUUGGACUUGUGAAACUCAAUGUUAUUAAAAGCGCUCGCUUCGUCGCCUAAAGCAUUGAGGUGAGGCGACUGGCAUGCGCUUCAGAAGGCUGAGGCCACGCUGGUAGAAAGAAGGGACUCUUCUCCUCAAGAAGAUCGAAGUGGAGGAGAAGCGAGAAGCAUGCACUUCGUUUAUUUUAAUAAAAAGUUGACUUUAAACAGAAAAGGACUCAACUUUCUUACUAGUUUUGUUGCUCUCUUCCUUGGUCUGGUUUCUAUACUUCAAGCUACAGCCUGUUAGUUGGAUAGUAGUGCAUCCACUAUACUGGCUAUCAAAGAUGUGGAGAUAGCUUGUUCUCUGCAUUGAAUUUGAGUUCCAUGAUAUUCUCAUGAAAUUUGGAAAACUGGAAAAUGAUAUCCGGUAUCAUUCAAUUUAUACCAGAUCAAGAUUUACAAUCUACAAGCUGGAUUCUAAAGAACUGGCCUGCUACCCUUGAAGAAAGUGCAGAACAAUUGAAGCAAUCUACUUUGGUUUUGUUACAAUCUGUUUAGAAAUGUCACAUUUGUAAAAGCUAUAAUUUUAUUCUCUUUUGUUUGUAGUUGACAAAUAUAAUGUCAUGUAAUCUGAAUGUGUAUAUUUUUAUAUUUUUUUAGUAAUGUGAUGAUUUAUUUAUUUUUUCAAGUAUCC